This 309-nucleotide long non-coding RNA is filed under the name Phoenix dactylifera (date palm). Its description in RNAcentral is "long non-coding RNA (PDAC_LNC006260)". Lineage: Eukaryota; Viridiplantae; Streptophyta; Magnoliopsida; Arecales; Arecaceae. The record is from RNAcentral.
AGUGUGUGUGUGUGUGAGAGAGAGAGAGAGAGAGAAAUAAGAGUGUGUGCAUGAAUCCAUAGUUCUGAUUGACUGCUUUUGCAGUUGUACAGUGCUAUCGUGCUUAGUGGCAGCUUGGUAAAUUUCUGUUGCCAGGGUGUUUGUUCAGAGGCUCCUCUGUCCUUCCUUGUCCGCCACCCAAACCCCACGAGCUGAAGCAACGGCUACCUGCUUUAGAAUUCAAAAGUAUUCCGAAUAAAGGAACAAAACCACCGACCUUAGCUUCGCCUUUCCAGCUGUACCCCACCGGCAGCACCCGCCUCCCAACUC